CCCUUAGAUGUUCUGGGCCGCACGCGCGCUACAAUGAUGAAUUCAACGAGUUUAUAACCUUGGUUGAAAAGCCUGGGUAAUCUUUUGAACUUUCGUCGUGAUGGGGCUAGACCCUUGCAAUUAUUGGUCUCCAACGAGGAAUUCCUAGUAAACGCAAGUCAUCAGCUUGCAUUGAUUACGUCCCUGCCCUUUGUACACACCGCCCGUCGCACCUACCGAUUGAAUGGUCCGGUGAAAUCUUCGGAUUGAGACUUUGAUUUCUUCACGGAAAACGCUGUUUCAAGAAGUUGAUUAAACCUUACCAUUUAGAGGAAGGUGAAGUCGUAACA
Molecule: ribosomal RNA, 329 nt
Filed under: uncultured eukaryote
Lineage: Eukaryota
Description: partial 18S ribosomal RNA
Rfam family: Eukaryotic small subunit ribosomal RNA
Source: RNAcentral